AAGGGUACAGCUCAGUGGCAGAGGGUGUGCUUAGCAUGCACAAGGUCCUGGGUUCAAUCCCCAGUACCUCUA
This 72-nucleotide transfer RNA is filed under the name Camelus bactrianus (Bactrian camel). It matches the Rfam family "tRNA". From Rfam's summary of the family: Transfer RNA (tRNA) molecules are approximately 80 nucleotides in length. Their secondary structure includes four short double-helical elements and three loops (D, anti-codon, and T loops). Further hydrogen bonds mediate the characteristic L-shaped molecular structure. tRNAs have two regions of fundamental functional importance: the anti-codon, which is responsible for specific mRNA codon recognition, and the 3' end, to which the tRNAs corresponding amino acid is attached (by aminoacyl-tRNA synthetases). tRNAs cope with the degeneracy of the genetic code in two manners: having more than one tRNA (with a specific anti-codon) for a particular amino acid; and 'wobble' base-pairing, i.e. permitting non-standard base-pairing at the 3rd anti-codon position. RNAcentral also lists the same sequence under 1 other name. The record is from Rfam by way of RNAcentral. Lineage: Eukaryota; Metazoa; Chordata; Mammalia; Artiodactyla; Camelidae.